Molecule: transfer RNA, 64 nt
Filed under: Cavia porcellus (domestic guinea pig)
Lineage: Eukaryota; Metazoa; Chordata; Mammalia; Rodentia; Caviidae
Rfam family: tRNA
About the family: Transfer RNA (tRNA) molecules are approximately 80 nucleotides in length.
Source: Rfam by way of RNAcentral
GGGGAUUUAGCUCAGUGGCAGAAGCACCUACCUGGCAAGUACGAGAUGGUGAGUUCAAUUCCCA